This is a long non-coding RNA of Gopherus flavomarginatus (Mexican gopher tortoise), 530 nucleotides long. RefSeq lists it as uncharacterized. The record is from RefSeq and is a predicted model, not a curated record. The transcript has 3 exons. NCBI's taxonomy places the organism in Eukaryota, Metazoa, Chordata, Testudines, Testudinidae.
CUGUGGGAGGUUGGAUGGGGCAGCAGCAGGGGGCGCUGCGAGGAGUCACUUUGGGGUGUUGGAAGGCAGCAGCAGAGGGCGCUGUGAGGACUCAGUUUGGAGUCUUAAUGUCAUAAACAGAUAGUUAAGGGUUAAUGUCUCUUUUAUCUGUAAAGGGUUAACAAACAGGGAACCAAACACCUGACCAGGGGACCAAUCAGGAGACAAGAUACUUUCAAAUAUUGGUGGAGGGAAGCCUUUAUUUGUGUUUUUUGGGCUUGGCUUUGAUCUCUCUGGGCUCUGAGAGUGACCACACGUACCUACAGGCUCUCUAAUCUUCUAUUCCAAUUUUGAUUUUCCCUUCCCAAACCUGACCCAAUCACCCGGCUGGAAUGAGAGGAAGAGCCGUGGGUGCCCAAUCUCUAGGCCAGUGAGGAAAGAGGGAUCCCGAGAGGCGCCCACACAGCACAAUGACUUCUGUCUGGAUUGUCACUCUCGCAGCAGUUGAUGAGAGAGUGAGUGAGAAUGAGGAGGGGAAUCAACAGCAGGAA